Long non-coding RNA from Ixodes scapularis (black-legged tick), 599 nucleotides. RefSeq lists it as uncharacterized. The record is from RefSeq and is a predicted model, not a curated record. NCBI's taxonomy places the organism in Eukaryota, Metazoa, Arthropoda, Arachnida, Ixodida, Ixodidae. The transcript has 3 exons.
CGGCACGCGCUGGGGCGGCGGAGUGCACGGGUGGAGGGCUGACAGGGCGGCGCUGGCGGCAUACCGGAAGAAACUUUCGUGUUCGUCGGGCAACACUGUCACCGAGAACCUUUCCCCACGGGAGUUCUAGGACGCUGCUGGCCGCUGAAGUAUGUUUGUAUCGAAAGCGAGCCGGUACGCCUUCAGAAUUUCCCACAAUGUCUACCUCGACAACCAACUGACUCCUGGCAAGGACCGCAUUGUGGCCUCCUCAGCCUUCGCGCUGUCCACCCUCGGAAUCCUGCUGUCGGCCUUCAGCCUCCGCCAGAUGGGCCACAGCCAAAAGUGGAGUCAGCGGGGAUGACCCCGACAGCGGCUGACCGCCCCCAAAGAAACGCGCCCGACCCUCGACAGAAGCAGCUGCCAUGUUGCGUGCCGUCAUCUCGUGUGCAGCUCUGGGCCACAGAUUGUGUCUAUGCUGGACAUUUUAGCUAUUUCUCCCUCAUUCGUCUAGCACCGAUUCUGACAAAGGACUUUUAGGACCCAAUUAGCAACUGACAUUUCAACGCAAUGUAUGCCAUACUGAAAAAAAGAGAAAAUGCUUGUUCUUCCCAAAGACA